RNAcentral lists this ribosomal RNA (440 nucleotides) under uncultured bacterium. Its description in RNAcentral is "partial 16S ribosomal RNA". It matches the Rfam family "Bacterial small subunit ribosomal RNA", at positions 339 to 795 of the family's 1533-position model. The record is from RNAcentral.
CUACGGGUUGCUCCAGUAGGGAAUAUUGGACAAUGGGCGAAAGCCUGAUCCAGCAACGCCGCGUGCACGAUGACGGCCUUCGGGUUGUAAAGUGCUUUUAGAGGAGAUGAGAAAGGACAGUAUCCUCUGAAUAAGCCUCGGCGAACUACGUGCCAGCAGCCGCGGUAAAACGUAGGAGGCAAGCGUUAUCCGGAUUUAUUGGGCGUAAAGCGCGUGCAGGCGGUUUGACAAGUUGGAUGUGAAAGCUCCCGGCUUAACUGGGAGAGGGCGUUCAAAACUGUCAGACUAGAGAAUGGGAGAGGGAGGUGGAAUUCCGGGUGUAGUGGUGAAAUGCGUAGAUAUCCGGAGGAACACCAGUGGCGAAAGCGGCCUCCUAGACCAUUUCUGACGCUAAGACGCGAAAGCUAGGGUAGCAAACGGGAUUAGAUACCCGGGUAGUC